GAUGAAGAACGUAGCGAAAUGCGAUACGUAGUGUGAAUUGCAGAAUUCCGUGAACCAUCAAAUCUUUGAACGCAUAUUGCGCUCGAGGCUUCGGCCGAGAGCAUGUCUGCCUCAGCGUCGGUAUUACCCCUCGCUUCUCAACCCCUGGUUGAUGCCUGCCUGCCUUUGCAGUUGGCUAGAAGCGGAUCUGGCUUUCCCAAUUGCCUUUGGUAGUUGGGUCAGCUGAAGCACAGAGGCUUGAGCAAGGACCCUUAUUGGGCUUCAACUGGAUAGGUAGAACUGGUCUUAGGACCAACUACACGAAGUUGUUGCUUGUGGUCUUUUGUCUGGAGGCCAGCAGGAAACCUUUAUACCUUCGACUUGAGCUCAGGCAAGAUUACCCGCUGAACUUAAGCAUAUCAAUAAGCGGAGGA
This 413-nucleotide unclassified non-coding RNA is filed under the name soil metagenome. RNAcentral's name for it is "partial contains 5.8S ribosomal RNA, internal transcribed spacer 2, and large subunit ribosomal RNA". The stretch from base 1 to 120 matches the Rfam family "5.8S ribosomal RNA", at positions 35 to 154 of the family's 154-position model. The record is from RNAcentral.